CAGACGACAUCAUUUGUAUGCGAGUUUCCAUGCAAAUAAUGUCAUUUGAAUCCUUUUAACAGGAGAUAAUGACACAAAAUUCCAGGAGAACAGGGAACAGGCCAUGAAAUAAGGACUUUCAAGUGACAAAUGCUUUAAGCUCCGAAAUUUCAAACAGCAGAAACAGCCCUCUUGAAGUAGAAGACGAGGAUCAGCACUGUAUCUUCAAAUGAUGAAGUAUUGGCUUCUGACCUCCAUUAUAUAUACACCACAACACUUGAGUGAUUUUUGAGGAGUGAGGGACCCAGUAG
This 290-nucleotide long non-coding RNA is filed under the name Numida meleagris (helmeted guineafowl). Its description in RNAcentral is "lncRNA (ENSNMEG00000010858.1)". Lineage: Eukaryota; Metazoa; Chordata; Aves; Galliformes; Numididae. The record is from RNAcentral.